CAUAUUUUUGUAGAUAAAAUUUGCAAGUUAUGGAGGCUUUGCUCUAAAAAACACCUUGACAUUGAUGAGUAUAGUAGUAAAUGGUCCAUCGGCACCUUUCUUUGCACUUAUCAAGGUGGCUAUGUUACCCACACGAUGUAUGUUAACAUUCAGGACAGGGGAGCAAGUCAAGUGGAAGGAAGUCAUGAAAAUGGGAUUUACCAGCAAAAGGUGGAGGUGGAGGGGGGCCAGGACCCUUUUUGAGUGGCAUUGCAGUUGGCAUUGAUCCUUUUGUAGGCAUGACAGGUGGUGGUGGUGGUGAUUGCAAUAAUUCUUUGGAAAGCGAGGCUGGCAGUGGAGGAGCACUUUUUGGGAUGUCAGUUUCACCGGUUGUAUCUUGUUGUUUCUCAUGAUCAUUCUCAUUCACAUUGGGGAAUGGAACCUUCGUGUUUUUGCUUGUCUGCAAGUGACAUUCAAUUAUGCCAGUGUUUGCUGCUCUCACUUCUUCUUUGCUCUGUGGCUUCAGUUUCUCGACUGUUUCAUUCUUUUGUUUCAAGUUGCUAGAGUUCUGACAAAACUGAACUCCAGGAGACGGAUGACCAGGUGGAGACUUGGAAAUAUUUGGAGUUACUCCAGUACGAGCAUCAUUUUUGACAGCAAGAGAAAUAGAUUUGUUGCUGGUAUAGGACUCUGUUGAUUUGCUGGCUUGUUGGCUGUAGUCUUCAUUCAACCCUUCAUCUUCUAGCCUAUCAAACAGUUCUGCUGCUGCCUUAAUCACAGAGUCAAGUGUUGCAAACACUACCAUAUCAACUUCAACAAAGAAAAAUAAAAUACAGUGAGCUUCAAUCAAGAACAAGGAACACAUUAGAUUAAUAAGAGCUAAGAGAAGGAAAUUGCAUACCGA
Hevea brasiliensis (rubber tree) is the source of this 883-nucleotide long non-coding RNA. RefSeq lists it as uncharacterized. The record is from RefSeq and is a predicted model, not a curated record. NCBI's taxonomy places the organism in Eukaryota, Viridiplantae, Streptophyta, Magnoliopsida, Malpighiales, Euphorbiaceae. The transcript is spliced from 2 exons.